RNAcentral lists this unclassified non-coding RNA (330 nucleotides) under Hevea brasiliensis (rubber tree). Lineage: Eukaryota; Viridiplantae; Streptophyta; Magnoliopsida; Malpighiales; Euphorbiaceae. The record is from RNAcentral.
AAUGGACAUGCUGAACCAGAAGAUAAAUCAUCGGAUCCUCUUCCAGGAAGUAUUGUUAAUCCACAUCGACAGUUGCUGAUGGUCGUAAGUAAUAUUGGAUAUUUCAAAGAUGAACUUGCUCAUGAAUUGUACAGCAAGUACAGACGAACUUGGCAGCAGUCGAGGGGCAAGGAUGAAGAGGACGCUGAUAUGCAAGAUCUCAUUGCAUCUUUCUCUGGGUUUGAAGAGAAUGUUCUUGAGCAGUAUACUUUGGCAAAGAGAAAUUUGUUCAGAACAGCUGCUGUAAACUAUUUGUUGGAGAGUGGUGUACAAUGGGGUGCUGCACCAGCA